RNAcentral lists this ribosomal RNA (1319 nucleotides) under uncultured bacterium. RNAcentral describes it as "bacterial SSU rRNA". It matches the Rfam family "Bacterial small subunit ribosomal RNA", at positions 64 to 1377 of the family's 1533-position model. The record is from RNAcentral.
GAGGGGCAUCAGGAAGAAAGCUUGCUUUCUUUGCUGGCGACCGGCGCACGGGUGAGUAACACGUAUCCAACCUGCCCUUUACUCGGGGAUAGCCUUUCGAAAGAAAGAUUAAUACCCGAUAGCAUAAUGAUUCCGCAUGGUUUCAUUAUUAAAGGAUUCCGGUAAAGGAUGGGGAUGCGUUCCAUUAGGUUGUUGGUGAGGUAACGGCCCACCAAGCCUUCGAUGGAUAGGGGUUCUGAGAGGAAGGUCCCCCACAUUGGAACUGAGACACGGUCCAAACUCCUACGGGAGGCAGCAGUGAGGAAUAUUGGUCAAUGGGCGCUAGCCUGAACCAGCCAAGUAGCGUGAAGGAUGAAGGCUCUAUGGGUCGUAAACUUCUUUUAUAUAAGAAUAAAGUGCAGUAUGUAUACUGUUUUGUAUGUAUUAUAUGAAUAAGGAUCGGCUAACUCCGUGCCAGCAGCCGCGGUAAUACGGAGGAUCCGAGCGUUAUCCGGAUUUAUUGGGUUUAAAGGGAGCGUAGGUGGACUGGUAAGUCAGUUGUGAAAGUUUGCGGCUCAACCGUAAAAUUGCAGUUGAUACUGUCAGUCUUGAGUACAGUAGAGGUGGGCGGAAUUCGUGGUGUAGCGGUGAAAUGCUUAGAUAUCACGAAGAACUCCGAUUGCGAAGGCAGCUCACUGGACUGCAACUGACACUGAUGCUCGAAAGUGUGGGUAUCAAACAGGAUUAGAUACCCUGGUAGUCCACACAGUAAACGAUGAAUACUCGCUGUUUGCGAUAUACAGUAAGCGGCCAAGCGAAAGCAUUAAGUAUUCCACCUGGGGAGUACGCCGGCAACGGUGAAACUCAAAGGAAUUGACGGGGGCCCGCACAAGCGGAGGAACAUGUGGUUUAAUUCGAUGAUACGCGAGGAACCUUACCCGGGCUUAAAUUGCAGUGGAAUGAUGUGGAAACAUGUCAGUGAGCAAUCACCGCUGUGAAGGUGCUGCAUGGUUGUCGUCAGCUCGUGCCGUGAGGUGUCGGCUUAAGUGCCAUAACGAGCGCAACCCUUAUCUUCAGUUACUAACAGGUCAUGCUGAGGACUCUGGAGAGACUGCCGUCGUAAGAUGUGAGGAAGGUGGGGAUGACGUCAAAUCAGCACGGCCCUUACGUCCGGGGCUACACACGUGUUACAAUGGGGGGUACAGAAGGCAGCUAGCGGGUGACCGUAUGCUAAUCCCAAAAUCCUCUCUCAGUUCGGAUCGAAGUCUGCAACCCGACUUCGUGAAGCUGGAUUCGCUAGUAAUCGCGCAUCAGCCACGGCGCGGUGAAUACGUUCCCGG